Molecule: ribosomal RNA, 512 nt
Filed under: uncultured Lactobacillales bacterium
Lineage: Bacteria; Bacillati; Bacillota; Bacilli; Lactobacillales
Description: partial 16S ribosomal RNA
Source: RNAcentral
UACGUAGUUAGCCGUGACUUUCUGGUUGGAUACUGUCACUGCGUGAACAGUUACUCUCACGCACGUUCUUCUCCAACAACAGAGCUUUACGAGCCGAAACCCUUCUUCACUCACGCGGUGUUGCUCCAUCAGGCUUGCGCCCAUUGUGGAAGAUUCCCUACUGCUGCCUCCCGUAGGAGUAUGGACCGUGUCUCAGUUCCAUUGUGGCCGAUCAGUCUCUCAACUCGGCUAUGCAUCAUCGCCUUGGUAAGCCGUUACCUUACCAACUAGCUAAUGCACCGCAGGUCCAUCCCGGAGUGAUAGCCAAAGCCAUCUUUACAAACAAAGCCAUGUGGUCUUUUGUUGUUAUGCGGUAUUAGCUAUCUGUUUACCAAAUUGUUACUCCCCCGCGUCCGGGGCACGGUUACCUACGGUUGUUACCUCCACCCCGUUCCGCCCUACUCACGUGGUGACUCCAACGUCAAUCAAGUGACAAGCACCAUACAAUCAGUUCGGGCCAGUGCGUACGUACG